This 586-nucleotide ribosomal RNA is filed under the name Pseudomonas sp. StFRB373. RNAcentral describes it as "bacterial SSU rRNA". It matches the Rfam family "Bacterial small subunit ribosomal RNA", at positions 102 to 683 of the family's 1533-position model. The record is from RNAcentral. Lineage: Bacteria; Pseudomonadati; Pseudomonadota; Gammaproteobacteria; Pseudomonadales; Pseudomonadaceae.
ACGGGUGAGUAAUGCCUAGGAAUCUGCCUGGUAGUGGGGGAUAACGCUCGGAAACGGACGCUAAUACCGCAUACGUCCUACGGGAGAAAGCAGGGGACCUUCGGGCCUUGCGCUAUCAGAUGAGCCUAGGUCGGAUUAGCUAGUUGGUGAGGUAAUGGCUCACCAAGGCGACGAUCCGUAACUGGUCUGAGAGGAUGAUCAGUCACACUGGAACUGAGACACGGUCCAGACUCCUACGGGAGGCAGCAGUGGGGAAUAUUGGACAAUGGGCGAAAGCCUGAUCCAGCCAUGCCGCGUGUGUGAAGAAGGUCUUCGGAUUGUAAAGCACUUUAAGUUGGGAGGAAGGGCAUUAACCUAAUACGUUAGUGUUUUGACGUUACCGACAGAAUAAGCACCGGCUAACUCUGUGCCAGCAGCCGCGGUAAUACAGAGGGUGCAAGCGUUAAUCGGAAUUACUGGGCGUAAAGCGCGCGUAGGUGGUUUGUUAAGUUGGAUGUGAAAUCCCCGGGCUCAACCUGGGAACUGCAUUCAAAACUGACAAGCUAGAGUAUGGUAGAGGGUGGUGGGAAUUUCCUGUGUAGCGGUG